AAAAUUGUUGGACGUUUUCGUGAUGAUAGAGAAAAUAGGUUGUUAGACUUUUGAUUGUUUCGAGUCAUAUGGUUGUAACGUCAAACACAACACAUUUGGCUACUUGGUAUUCUUGAAGUUUUUGCAUGGUUCUAAUUUGCUGGUAAACUCUUAAGGCUUUUCUUGUACAAACAGCUACGAUUAUACGAUCAAUCUUGUUUGGUUUAUAGCCUUGG
This 215-nucleotide long non-coding RNA is filed under the name Actinidia chinensis (golden kiwifruit). RNAcentral describes it as "long non-coding RNA (ACHI_LNC006402)". Lineage: Eukaryota; Viridiplantae; Streptophyta; Magnoliopsida; Ericales; Actinidiaceae. The record is from RNAcentral.